Molecule: long non-coding RNA, 1458 nt
Filed under: Anolis carolinensis (green anole)
Lineage: Eukaryota; Metazoa; Chordata; Lepidosauria; Squamata; Anolidae
Description: lncRNA (ENSACAG00000036624.1)
Source: RNAcentral
ACCUGGAGAUGUCUAUGGACAACACCGGCUCUUCGGCUUAGAAAUGGAGAUGAGAACCAAUCCCCAGAGUCAGACACGACUGGACUUAACAUCAGGGGAAACCUUUACCUUUACCUAAACAUUGAUAAAAAUAUAAAUAUAAAUACACAAUUAGUGCAUUUUGAGUCUGAUAACUGAUCUGUCAUUGAGUUCUAGGAUGGUAAUAAUUGAUACUGCUGUUAUUGAUCGAAGGCCUGGUCCCACAAGAUAAAAUAGAAUCAUAGAACUGGAUGAGACCACAAGGGCCAUCCACUCCAAGCUCCUUCUAUCACAUAGGAAGACACAACCAAAAUUCUCCUAACAGAUGACCAUCCAGUUUUCACUUAAAAACCUCCACUGGAGUUCCAGGCAGCAUAUUCCACUGUUGAAUGGCUCUUAUUAUCACAAAGUUCAUCCUAAGAUUUAGGUGGACUCUCUCUGAACCAUUGAUCCAUUGUGUCCCAGUCUCUAGAACAGCAGAAAACAUGCUUGUCCCCUUCUCGAUGUGGCAUCCUUAAACAUAUUUAAACAUAGCUCUCAUGUCCUCUCUCAACCUUCUCUUCUUUAAGCUCAACAUGCUCAUAUCCCUAAGACAUUUAUCACAAUCCGUUGAUUAUUUUGGUUGCCCUUCUCUGGACACCUUCCAACUUGUCCUUCUCCUUUGUGAGUUGUUUUGCCCAGAACUGAAUUCGGGGUUAUUCCAGGUGAAAUCCAACCAAAACAGUCUAUGUCUUCCCUUGAUCUCUAGACAUUAGAUGCCUAUUGAGGCAACAAAACAUUGUGAGUUGGUUCAGUUGUGAAAUUUUCCCAUUGAUAUCGCCAUGAUAUCGCCUCUUUUAAUGGCCAUGCUUUUUACUCUGUUGAAGCUGUGUUGUUGAUCUAUUGUGAUUGUUAUGUAUUUUACAUUGUUGUAUUUUAUAUUGUGUAUUUUAUACUGUUGUAUUUUAUUGUAUGUUGUUGGGCUUGGCCCCAUAUGAGCUGCCCCAUCCCUUCGGGAUAUAAAAAUAAAUAACUUCUUCUUCUUCUUCUUCUUCUUCUUCUUCUUCUUCUUCUUCUUCUUCCUCCUCCUCCUCUACUACUACUACUACUACUACUACUACUACUAUUCUUCUUAUUAUUAUUAUUAACUUCAUCUCUAUCCCACUCUUCUCACCCCACAGGGGACUCAGAGCGGCUUACAAUAUACAUUUAGGCAAAAUUUCAGUGCCUCAUUAUACAAAGCAAAUAAAACAUAACAUAAAAUCAAUAGAAACAAUCAACAUAUAAAUGCAAUUUAUAACCAUUAACAUUAAGAUAUUAAAACAUAAAACAGCAUCUAGAUACACCCUACUAGCCCCCCCCCCCCCCGGUCAUGAUCUUAAGGUCUUCUUUGGCUCCCUAUGUGUGUAUAUUUACAUUUUGAUACUUUGAUACCACUUGAAUUGUUUUGGUUCAGUUUUA